GAUGAAGAACGUAGCGAAAUGCGAUACUUGGUGUGAAUUGCAGAAUCCCGUGAACCAUCGAGUCUUUGAACGCAAGUUGCGCCCGAAGCCAUCAGGUUGAGGGCACGUCUGCCUGGGCGUCACAUAUCGUUGCUCGAUGCCUAUCGCAUUGCGAUAGGACUUAGGGCGAAUGAUGGCUUCCCGUGAGCGUUGUUGCCUCGCGGUUGGUUGAAAAUCGAGUCCUUGGUAGGGUGUGCCAUGAUGGAUGGUGGUUGAGUGAUGAUGCUCGAGACCAAUCAUGGGUAACUCCACCAGAAUUGGGCUCGGUGACCCACAUGCGUCCCUUGGAUGCCCCCUAAGGAGACCUCAGGUCAGGCGGGGCUACCCGCUGAGUUUAAGCAUAUCAAUAAGCGGAGGA
Molecule: unclassified non-coding RNA, 397 nt
Filed under: soil metagenome
Description: partial contains 5.8S ribosomal RNA, internal transcribed spacer 2, and large subunit ribosomal RNA
Rfam family: 5.8S ribosomal RNA (bases 1-122)
Source: RNAcentral